Molecule: ribosomal RNA, 254 nt
Filed under: uncultured bacterium
Lineage: Bacteria
Description: partial 16S ribosomal RNA
Rfam family: Bacterial small subunit ribosomal RNA
Source: RNAcentral
GACGUAGGGGGCGAGCGUUGUCCGGAUUUAUUGGGCGUAAAGAGCUCGUAGGCGGCUCGGUAAGUCGGGUGUGAAACCUCCAGGCUCAACCUGGAGACGCCACCUGAUACUGCUGUGGCUAGAGUCCGGUAGGGGAGUGUGGAACUCCUGGUGUAGCGGUGAAAUGCGCAGAUAUCAGGAAGAACACCAGCGGCGAAGGCGGCACUCUGGGCCGGAACUGACGCUGAGGAGCGAAAGCGUGGGUAGCAAACAGG